GGAGAUGUAUCGAAGAGGUCAUAACGGGGCGCACUCGAAAUGCGUUAGCCUUCACGGGCACGUGGGUUCGAAUCCCACCAUCUCCGCCA
Molecule: transfer RNA, 89 nt
Filed under: Peptoniphilus sp. oral taxon 386 str. F0131
Lineage: Bacteria; Bacillati; Bacillota; Tissierellia; Tissierellales; Peptoniphilaceae
Description: tRNA-Ser
Rfam family: tRNA
About the family: Transfer RNA (tRNA) molecules are approximately 80 nucleotides in length. Their secondary structure includes four short double-helical elements and three loops (D, anti-codon, and T loops). Further hydrogen bonds mediate the characteristic L-shaped molecular structure. tRNAs have two regions of fundamental functional importance: the anti-codon, which is responsible for specific mRNA codon recognition, and the 3' end, to which the tRNAs corresponding amino acid is attached (by aminoacyl-tRNA synthetases). tRNAs cope with the degeneracy of the genetic code in two manners: having more than one tRNA (with a specific anti-codon) for a particular amino acid; and 'wobble' base-pairing, i.e. permitting non-standard base-pairing at the 3rd anti-codon position.
Source: RNAcentral